This 932-nucleotide ribosomal RNA is filed under the name uncultured bacterium. RNAcentral describes it as "bacterial SSU rRNA". It matches the Rfam family "Bacterial small subunit ribosomal RNA", at positions 9 to 957 of the family's 1533-position model. The record is from RNAcentral.
GAGUUUGAUCCUGGCUCGGACGAACGCUGGCGGCGUGCUUAACACAUGCAAUUCGAGCGAUGAAACACCUUCGGGUGUGAAUUAGCGGCGAACGGGUGAGGAACACGUGAAGAAUCUGCCUUCAACUCUGGGAUAACUCCGGGAAACCGGGGCUAAUACCGGAUAUGAGCCUUGAUCGCAUGAUCGGGGCUGGAAAGUUUUUCGGUUGAAGAUGACUUCGCGGCCUAUCAGCUUGUUGGUGAGGUAAUGGCUCACCAAGGCGACGACGGGUAGCCGGCCUGAGAGGGCGACCGGCCACACUGGGACUGAGACACGGCCCAGACUCCUACGGGAGGCAGCAGUGGGGAAUAUUGGGCAAUGGAGGAAACUCUGACCCAGCGACGCCGCGUGAGGGAUGAAGGCCUUCGGGUUGUAAACCUCUUUCAGUAGGGAAGAAGCGAAAGUGACGGUACCUACAGAAGAAGCACCGGCUAACUAUGUGCCAGCAGCCGCGGUAAUACAUAGGGUGCAAGCGUUGUCCGGAAUUAUUGGGCGUAAAGAGCUCGUAGGUGGUUCGAUACGUCGGAUGUGAAAAUCAGGGGCUCAACCCCUGACCUGCAUCCGAUACGGUCGAGCUAGAGUUUGGUAGGGGAGACUGGAAUUCCUGGUGUAGCGGUGGAAUGCGCAGAUAUCAGGAGGAACACCGAUGGCGAAGGCAGGUCUCUGGGCCAAUACUGACACUGAGGAGCGAAAGCGUGGGGAGCGAACAGGAUUAGAUACCCUGGUAGUCCACGCCGUAAACGGUGGGCGCUAGUUGUGCGAACCUUCCACGGUUUGUGCGACGCAGCUAACGCAUUAAGCGCCCCGCCUGGGGAGUACGAUCGCAAGAUUAAAACUCAAAGGAAUUGACGGGGCCCCGCANCAGCAGCGGAGCAUGCGACUUAAUUCGACGC